This 254-nucleotide ribosomal RNA is filed under the name uncultured bacterium. RNAcentral's name for it is "partial 16S ribosomal RNA". It matches the Rfam family "Bacterial small subunit ribosomal RNA", at positions 524 to 776 of the family's 1533-position model. The record is from RNAcentral.
UACGUAGGGGGCGAGCGUUGUCCGGAUUCAUUGGGCGUAAAGAGCUCGUAGGCGGUUUGGCAAGUCGGGUGUGAAAUCUCCGGGCUCAACUCGGAGAGGCCACUCGAUACUGCUAUGACUAGAGUCCGGUAGGGGACUAUGGAAUUCCUGGUGUAGCGGUGAAAUGCGCAGAUAUCAGGAGGAACACCGAUGGCGAAGGCAGGUCACUGGGCCGCAACUGACGCUGAGGAGCGAAAGCAUGGGGAGCGAACAGG